CACCUGUUCCCAUGCCGAACACAGAAGUUAAGCUCCUUAGCGUCGAUGGUAGUCGAACUUACGUUCCGCUAGAGUAGAACGUUGCCAGGC
RNAcentral lists this ribosomal RNA (90 nucleotides) under Staphylococcus aureus. RNAcentral also lists the same sequence under 1 other name. The record is from RNAcentral. Lineage: Bacteria; Bacillati; Bacillota; Bacilli; Caryophanales; Staphylococcaceae.